This 1313-nucleotide ribosomal RNA is filed under the name Pediococcus pentosaceus. RNAcentral describes it as "bacterial SSU rRNA". It matches the Rfam family "Bacterial small subunit ribosomal RNA", at positions 88 to 1389 of the family's 1533-position model. The record is from RNAcentral. Lineage: Bacteria; Bacillati; Bacillota; Bacilli; Lactobacillales; Lactobacillaceae.
GAAGUGAGUGGCGAACGGGUGAGUAACACGUGGGUAACCUGCCCAGAAGUAGGGGAUAACACCUGGAAACAGAUGCUAAUACCGUAUAACAGAGAAAACCGCAUGGUUUUCUUUUAAAAGAUGGCUCUGCUAUCACUUCUGGAUGGACCCGCGGCGUAUUAGCUAGUUGGUGAGGUAAAGGCUCACCAAGGCAGUGAUACGUAGCCGACCUGAGAGGGUAAUCGGCCACAUUGGGACUGAGACACGGCCCAGACUCCUACGGGAGGCAGCAGUAGGGAAUCUUCCACAAUGGACGCAAGUCUGAUGGAGCAACGCCGCGUGAGUGAAGAAGGGUUUCGGCUCGUAAAGCUCUGUUGUUAAAGAAGAACGUGGGUAAGAGUAACUGUUUACCCAGUGACGGUAUUUAACCAGAAAGCCACGGCUAACUACGUGCCAGCAGCCGCGGUAAUACGUAGGUGGCAAGCGUUAUCCGGAUUUAUUGGGCGUAAAGCGAGCGCAGGCGGUCUUUUAAGUCUAAUGUGAAAGCCUUCGGCUCAACCGAAGAAGUGCAUUGGAAACUGGGAGACUUGAGUGCAGAAGAGGACAGUGGAACUCCAUGUGUAGCGGUGAAAUGCGUAGAUAUAUGGAAGAACACCAGUGGCGAAGGCGGCUGUCUGGUCUGCAACUGACGCUGAGGCUCGAAAGCAUGGGUAGCGAACAGGAUUAGAUACCCUGGUAGUCCAUGCCGUAAACGAUGAUUACUAAGUGUUGGAGGGUUUCCGCCCUUCAGUGCUGCAGCUAACGCAUUAAGUAAUCCGCCUGGGGAGUACGACCGCAAGGUUGAAACUCAAAAGAAUUGACGGGGGCCCGCACAAGCGGUGGAGCAUGUGGUUUAAUUCGAAGCUACGCGAAGAACCUUACCAGGUCUUGACAUCUUCUGACAGUCUAAGAGAUUAGAGGUUCCCUUCGGGGACAGAAUGACAGGUGGUGCAUGGUUGUCGUCAGCUCGUGUCGUGAGAUGUUGGGUUAAGUCCCGCAACGAGCGCAACCCUUAUUACUAGUUGCCAGCAUUAAGUUGGGCACUCUAGUGAGACUGCCGGUGACAAACCGGAGGAAGGUGGGGACGACGUCAAAUCAUCAUGCCCCUUAUGACCUGGGCUACACACGUGCUACAAUGGAUGGUACAACGAGUCGCGAGACCGCGAGGUUAAGCUAAUCUCUUAAAACCAUUCUCAGUUCGGACUGUAGGCUGCAACUCGCCUACACGAAGUCGGAAUCGCUAGUAAUCGCGGAUCAGCAUGCCGCGGUGAAUACGUUCCCGGGCCUUGUACACA